AUUGAACGCUGGCGGCAUGCCUUACACAUGCAAGUCGAACGGCAGCACGGGUGCUUGCACCUGGUGGCGAGUGGCGAACGGGUGAGUAAUACAUCGGAACAUGUCCUGUAGUGGGGGAUAGCCCGGCGAAAGCCGGAUUAAUACCGCAUACGAUCUACGGAUGAAAGCGGGGGACCGUCGGGCCUCGCGCUAUAGGGUUGGCCGAUGGCUGAUUAGCUAGUUGGUGGGGUAAAGGCCUACCAAGGCGACGAUCAGUAGCUGGUCUGAGAGGACGACCAGCCACACUGGGACUGAGACACGGCCCAGACUCCUACGGGAGGCAGCAGUGGGGAAUUUUGGACAAUGGGCGAAAGCCUGAUCCAGCAAUGCCGCGUGUGUGAAGAAGGCCUUCGGGUUGUAAAGCACUUUUGUCCGGAAAGAAAUCCUUGGCCCUAAUACGGUCGGGGGAUGACGGUACCGGAAGAAUAAGCACCGGCUAACUACGUG
Molecule: ribosomal RNA, 486 nt
Filed under: uncultured bacterium
Lineage: Bacteria
Description: partial 16S ribosomal RNA
Rfam family: Bacterial small subunit ribosomal RNA
Source: RNAcentral